GUUGUAUUCACAAGAGUGUUCCUUUUGUUUUCUGCUACACUUUCAUUUGGAACUUUUUUUCUGAAUAUGUCUUUUGUUUAAUUCUUAUCCAGUGUAGCAAAUCUUCAUAAAAAUUAUUUUACUGCCCCUGUAAUAAAGAAAUGAACAAAUGAGUACUCAAUGUAUACUUCUUAUGAAUAUAAUAAAUCUUAAAAGACUCUUGUUUAAACUAGACUAUAUAAUGCGAUGCCAUAGGGAUAAUGCACUCAUACCACAUCUUCCAACAUCUAUUUAGAUUGUUAGACUUCACUGUGCUAGCUAAGUUUAGCCGGAAAAUUGAGGGUAGAUAUGGAUACAGGAAACAGAACCAUGUAAAAAAAUGUUCUAACUAAAUGAAUAAUUCUAGUAAAAAAUCUAAAUCAAAUCUAAAUACAACAGCAUUAUCGGUAUUAUAAUAUUUAAC
RNAcentral lists this long non-coding RNA (442 nucleotides) under Mytilus galloprovincialis (Mediterranean mussel). Lineage: Eukaryota; Metazoa; Mollusca; Bivalvia; Mytilida; Mytilidae. The record is from RNAcentral.